Molecule: ribosomal RNA, 402 nt
Filed under: uncultured bacterium
Lineage: Bacteria
Description: bacterial SSU rRNA
Rfam family: Bacterial small subunit ribosomal RNA
Source: RNAcentral
UGGGGAAUAUUGCACAAUGGGGGAAACCCUGAUGCAGCAACGCCGCGUGAGUGAUGACAGCCUUCGGGUUGUAAAGCUCUGUCUUCAGGGACGAUAAUGACGGUACCUGAGGAGGAAGCCACGGCUAACUACGUGCCAGCAGCCGCGGUAAUACGUAGGUGGCAAGCGUUGUCCGGAUUUACUGGGCGUAAAGGGAGCGUAGGCGGACUUUUAAGUGAGAUGUGAAAUACCCGGGCUCAACCUGGGUGCUGCAUUUCAAACUGGAAGUCUAGAGUGCAGGAGAGGAGAGUGGAAUUCCUAGUGUAGCGGUGAAAUGCGUAGAGAUUAGGAAGAACACCAGUGGCGAAGGCGACUCUCUGGACUGUAACUGACGCUGAGGCUCGAAAGCGUGGGGAGCAAACA